GACGAACGCUGGCGGCGUGCUUAACACAUGCAAGUCGAACGGAAAGGCCCUGCUUUUGUGGGGUGCUCGAGUGGCGAACGGGUGAGUAACACGUGAGUAACCUGCCCUUGACUUUGGGAUAACUUCAGGAAACUGGGGCUAAUACCGGAUAGGAGCUCCUGCUGCAUGGUGGGGGUUGGAAAGUUUCGGCGGUUGGGGAUGGACUCGCGGCUUAUCAGCCUGUUGGUGGGGUAGUGGCUUACCAAGGCUUUGACGGGUAGCCGGCCUGAGAGGGUGACCGGCCACAUUGGGACUGAGAUACGGCCCAGACUCCUACGGGAGGCAGCAGUGGGGAAUAUUGCACAAUGGGCGGAAGCCUGAUGCAGCAACGCCGCGUGCGGGAUGACGGCCUUCGGGUUGUAAACCGCUUUCGCCUGUGACGAAGCGUGAGUGACGGUAAUGGGUAAAGAGGCACCGGCUAACUACGUG
This 468-nucleotide ribosomal RNA is filed under the name uncultured bacterium. Its description in RNAcentral is "partial 16S ribosomal RNA". It matches the Rfam family "Bacterial small subunit ribosomal RNA", at positions 28 to 507 of the family's 1533-position model. The record is from RNAcentral.